RNAcentral lists this ribosomal RNA (253 nucleotides) under uncultured bacterium. RNAcentral's name for it is "partial 16S ribosomal RNA". It matches the Rfam family "Bacterial small subunit ribosomal RNA", at positions 524 to 776 of the family's 1533-position model. The record is from RNAcentral.
UACAGAGGCCCCAAGCGUUGUUCGGAUUCACUGGGCGUAAAGGGUGCGUAGGUGGCUUGGAAAGUUUGAUGUGAAAGCUCAGGGCUUAACCCUGAAAUGGCAUUGAAUACUACUGAGCUGGAGGUUUGGAGGGGGGACUGGAAUUCUCGGUGUAGCAGUGAAAUGCGUAGAUAUCGAGAGGAACACCAGUGGCGAAGGCGAGUCCCUGGACAACACCUGACACUGAGGCACGAAAGCCGGGGGAGCAAACAGG